Molecule: non-coding RNA, 71 nt
Organism: Phrynosoma platyrhinos (Desert horned lizard)
Lineage: Eukaryota; Metazoa; Chordata; Lepidosauria; Squamata; Phrynosomatidae
Source: the annotation of a GenBank genome assembly
GCCUAUGUGGUGUAGUGGUUUGAGCUUUGGACUAUGACUCUGGAGACCAGGGUUUGAAUCCCAGUUAGACC